UAAAGGCCUACCAAGGCGACGAUCAGUAGCUGGUCUGAGAGGACGACCAGCCACAUUGGGACUGAGACACGGCCCAAACUCCUACGGGAGGCAGCAGUGGGGAAUUUUGGACAAUGGGGGCAACCCUGAUCCAGCCAUGCCGCGUGCGGGAAGAAGGCCUUCGGGUUGUAAACCGCUUUUGUUAGGAACGAAAAGGUAUCUGUGAACAACAGGUAUUGCUGACGGUACCUAAAGAAUAAGCACCGGCUAACUAC
RNAcentral lists this ribosomal RNA (254 nucleotides) under uncultured bacterium. RNAcentral's name for it is "partial 16S ribosomal RNA". It matches the Rfam family "Bacterial small subunit ribosomal RNA", at positions 258 to 504 of the family's 1533-position model. The record is from RNAcentral.